AGCGAACGCUGGCGGCGUGCUUAACACAUGCAAGUCGAGCGAAGGUGUUUCGAAGGGUAACCUUGAGAUACACUUAGCGGCGGACGGGUGAGUAAUACGUGGAUAACUUACCUCGUAGGCCUGGGAUAACCCCGGGAACGUGGGCUAAUACCUGAUAAGACCACAUUGUCUACGGACAAAGGGUAAAGGUGGCUGUGCAAACAGCUAUCGCC
RNAcentral lists this ribosomal RNA (212 nucleotides) under uncultured bacterium. Its description in RNAcentral is "partial 16S ribosomal RNA". It matches the Rfam family "Bacterial small subunit ribosomal RNA", at positions 29 to 219 of the family's 1533-position model. The record is from RNAcentral.